Molecule: ribosomal RNA, 623 nt
Filed under: uncultured Verrucomicrobiota bacterium
Lineage: Bacteria; Pseudomonadati; Verrucomicrobiota
Description: bacterial SSU rRNA
Rfam family: Bacterial small subunit ribosomal RNA
Source: RNAcentral
UGGUAGCAAUACCGAAGGAAGUUUAGUGGCGAACGGGUGCGUAACACGUGGGCAAUCUGCCGAGAAGUGGGGGAUAGCUCGCCGAAAGGCGAAUUAAUACCGCAUGUGAUCAGGAGAGACAUCUUUCUGAAAUUAAAGCCGGGGCAACCUGGCGCUUUUUGAUGAGCCCGCGGCCUAUCAGCUAGUUGGUGAGGUAACGGCCCACCAAGGCUUUGACGGGUAGCUGGUCUGAGAGGACGACCAGCCACACUGGAACUGAGACACGGUCCAGACACCUACGGGUGGCAGCAGUCGAGAAUUUUUCUCAAUGGGGGAAACCCUGAAGGAGCGACGCCGCGUGGAGGAUGAAGGCUUUCGGGUUGUAAACUCCUGUCAUUUGAGAACAAGGGUAGCUAAGUAACUACUAGCUACUUGAUAGUAUCAGAAGAGGAAGAGACGGCUAACUCUGUGCCAGCAGCCGCGGUAAUACAGAGGUCUCAAGCGUUGUUCGGAUUCAUUGGGCGUAAAGGGUGCGUAGGUGGCGCGCUAAGUCAGGUGUGAAAUUUCGGAGCUUAACUCCGAAACUGCAUUUGAUACUGGCGUGCUUGAGGACUGGAGAGGAGACUGGAAUUCUCGGUGUAGCA